CCCGGCGGGGGCAGCGGCACUCCCCGGGUGGCUCCUCCGGGCUGCAGCCCCGCAGAUGGGGGCCGCUGUCCCGCUCCUCCUGCCCGCGGGCUGCUGCGGUCAGCAAAAGCGACGGCUUGUUACGGGGUGGCCGCCGUGGGGGAGAAAGCUGUAGAAAGGUGCUCUGGGGAGAUGUGAAGGAGGGCUCGAGCACAGCGACUGGGUGGGAAGGAGGUGACAGUUAGCUGGAGAAGAGCAUAAUUCCCCACCGCUUUCCCCAAGUCCCUCACGCUGCCCUCGGGCACCUGCUGGCUUUGCUUCUGUCCCUCCGUGUACCAGCACAAACGCUCCUGUCGUCCUUGGGGUCAUGGCACGGCCCUGGACACAAGGCACCGCCUGGCUCAGUGCCUCCUACCCUCAUGCUUCCCCUUGCAGGAGGGUGGGAGAGAAAACCUUCCCUCACCGCUGCACCCCGCACCAGGACAGUGGCUGUGACAAGGAGCCCGUGCCCUGGCUGGUGCCCUGCUGUCCUCACCCUGAGGGGCAGAGCUGCCCAGGGCAGCAGGGAGCAUUCUACCAUCCCAUCUCACAGGAAGGAGGAAGCUGGCCCUUGGAGAUCCCUCCUCAGGGGAGCAGAAGUUGUGGAACUACAUGGAUAUUGAGGUAAUGAAGCAAUGGACUGCAGCAAUUGGUUCAACACAAUCUCAAAGGCAGCAUGAGCAGCUCUUGGGCCAAGUGCCUUUUCUGGCCCAAAGCAUCUGCUGGGGAAAGGCAAUGAAUUACUUGCGGCUUUUUUUGUUUGUUUGUUUUUACCUAACGUUCAUCUGAAAAUAAAUUGCAGGCCAGAACAGGUGGAUAACAUUCUGGAAUGAUUUAAUGAUUUAUUUAAUCUGGAUUCUCUUUCAAUCUACUUAGCAGGAUGAAUACUUUUUUUAGCCCAAGUCCAAAAGCUGGGUUUUUCAUUUACAGAAGAGAAAAUACCCCACAAGAGCUCUGCUUCACCAAGGUGUGCUCCGCAGCAUUGUCUGCAGCACAACAGUCAUUCUGGGGUUGCUGAGAGCCCUGAGAAAAAUUCUUCCUUGCCAUAUGCACAGUGCUUCAGAUGGGUAUCUGCUCUCCUUUGUGCAGCAUCUGGGCAAUAAGACAGCUGAUCUUAGCACCAGGCACUGCACCUUCAAUCUGAGUAUGGGCAGCUUUCAGCCUGCAAAGACAGCCACUCUCUGGCUCUCCCUCUCCAUAGGGCAGCCUAGGGCACCAGUGACCAGAGAGUGACUAGAGAGUGACCAGAAAGUAAGUGCUGCAGCACAGCACCAGCAGACACAAAAGCAGCGUUUCCCACCCCCAUGCCCUUGGUAGGGCCUGGGAGCCUGCCAGACUGAGGGACUUCCAGCCCCUGCCCUGCUGGGGACAGCACAGUCAUCUGCCAGGUGCUUGGCCGCAGUGUCUGUGUAGAACAGCAGCGUGAAGAAGCAUGGGAGUUGAGUCAUGCAUAACCCCAAGAAUAAUGCUGCAGCUACAAGCCCUUACCCGGUUUGGAUGACCCAUCCAAGUGGACUCUCUCCUCUAUUUUAAAGGUACACAUCAUCCAUGUAAAACACCUCCAAGAUGCCCUCCAUAGUUAGCUGCUUAAUGGAACGUCUUAAAUAUAUCCACCAGCCAUGAAACAAGCAGCACUGGAGCUCUCUGCUGCCACAGCCAAUCCCACUGCUGCUCAUUAUGGGUAACAGAAAAAUAUCACUUCCACAUCACUGAGUUCUGGUCUUCCCUACGUGAACCACAAGAGGCACCGGACAGUGACACGACUCUUGUAUGCUAAAUAUUCCUGUGAGCCAACAGCACCUGGAGUAGUUCAGGUAAAGCAGUGCUGGCUGCCUUAGCUGGGGGAAGGCAGCUUCUGCCAGCAGGACUUCAAAUGUCCCACUCUUUAGCACCUGCCAGAGGGAGCUGAUGCAUUCCUGUUCCCCCCACAUCACAUCCUGGCUGGUGCAUCUCACAGAGAUGCUGUAUCUGGUGUCCGUCUGCCCGUCAAGUGUUACAAUUUACCUGUAGAAAAAUCAAUUGCCAGUAAAACUCCCCGAGUAUCCUGUGGAAUUCAGAAAUGUAACAUGUAUUACUCCUCUCCCUGAACUUUCCCAUAAAGUACUGGCUUACUCAGUAUUCUGUGGCAGGAAAUUAUUAAAACUUGUCCUAGUUCCUCUCAAUUGCAGCGAUAAUAUAACCUCACUUUCUCUUCAUACACAUUUAGAACUGGAGCUACAAAUAUAAUACGUGGUAUUCCAUAAGUGAAUCAGAUGGAAUUACAGUGUAAGAAUGUAGUCAUAGGGGCAACUGUAUUUGGAGCCCAACUCCAAAAGUUAAUAACAGUGAUGGUGUCUCUCACUCCCUCACCCCAAAUCACAGACCCACAUUGCAUUAUGAGUGCCCCAGUAGGAGCUGGCUCCUUCAGCCUUUCCCAGCAGAAGACGCUGGGGCCUGGAUUUGCUUUCAGAGUGCUCUGGGUUUUGUCUGGUGAAAUAAAACUUGGGGACAGAUUUCUUAUGGAAACAAUGCUCCAAUAGUCACCAUGAGAAAAGACCACCACCUGCCCACCAUUUCCUAAUUUGUUAAAUUAAAUGACAUAUCUCAGCCAAUUGCAAACACGAGUGUCCAUGCUGUUGCCUCCUUGAAUAAACUGUGAAAGAAGUCUGUGCCACCCACAAGCAGAGCAGCCCCAGAGCAUCCUCUCCAGAGGUCCAGGGACUAAAAUGGUUCUUCAGCAAGUGCUGACAUUGAAAGUAGAGGAGCAAGAAAUGAAACUCACACAACAGAAUGGUAAGGAGAUUUCUGCUGCAGAACUCUCUCACUCAUUUAGCCACCCAGGCCGACAUGUCCACA
Molecule: long non-coding RNA, 2853 nt
Organism: Gallus gallus (chicken)
Lineage: Eukaryota; Metazoa; Chordata; Aves; Galliformes; Phasianidae
Source: Ensembl